This 726-nucleotide ribosomal RNA is filed under the name uncultured Pseudomonadota bacterium. Its description in RNAcentral is "bacterial SSU rRNA". It matches the Rfam family "Bacterial small subunit ribosomal RNA", at positions 61 to 776 of the family's 1533-position model. Lineage: Bacteria; Pseudomonadati; Pseudomonadota. The record is from RNAcentral.
GUCGAACGGUAACAGGAAACAGCUUGCUGUUUCGCUGACGAGUGGCGGACGGGUGAGUAAUGUCUGGGAAACUGCCUGAUGGAGGGGGAUAACUACUGGAAACGGUAGCUAAUACCGCAUAACGUCGCAAGACCAAAGAGGGGGACCCUCGGGCCUCUUGCCAUCGGAUGUGCCCAGAUGGGAUUAGCUUGUUGGUGGGGUAACGGCUCACCAAGGCGACGAUCCCUAGCUGGUCUGAGAGGAUGACCAGCCACACUGGAACUGAGACACGGUCCAGACUCCUACGGGAGGCAGCAGUGGGGAAUAUUGCACAAUGGGCGCAAGCCUGAUGCAGCCAUGCCGCGUGUAUGAAGAAGGCCUUCGGGUUGUAAAGUACUUUCAGCGGGGAGGAAGGGAGUAAAGUUAAUACCUUUGCUCAUUGACGUUACCCGCAGAAGAAGCACCGGCUAACUCCGUGCCAGCAGCCGCGGUAAUACGGAGGGUGCAAGCGUUAAUCGGAAUUACUGGGCGUAAAGCGCACGCAGGCGGUUUGUUAAGUCAGAUGUGAAAUCCCCGGGCUCAACCUGGGAACUGCAUCUGAUACUGGCAAGCUUGAGACUCGUAGAGGGGGGUAGAAUUCCAGGUGUAGCGGUGAAAUGCGUAGAGAUCUGGAGGAAUACCGGUGGCGAAGGCGGCCCCCUGGACGAAGACUGACGCUCAGGUGCGAAAGCGUGGGGAGCAAACAGG